GACGAACGCUGGCGGCGUGCUUAACACAUGCAAGUCGAACGAAGAGCGAUGGAAGCUUGCUUCUAUCAAUCUUAGUGGCGAACGGGUGAGUAACGCGUAAUCAACCUGCCCUUCAGAGGGGGACAACAGUUGGAAACGACUGCUAAUACCGCAUACGAUCUAAUCUCGGCAUCGAGGAUAGAUGAAAGGUGGCCUCUACAUGUAAGCUAUCACUGAAGGAGGGGAUUGCGUCUGAUUAGCUAGUUGGAGGGGUAACGGCCCACCAAGGCGAUGAUCAGUAGCCGGUCUGAGAGGAUGAACGGCCACAUUGGGACUGAGACACGGCCCAGACUCCUACGGGAGGCAGCAGUGGGGAAUCUUCCGCAAUGGACGAAAGUCUGACGGAGCAACGCCGCGUGAGUGAUGACGGCCUUCGGGUUGUAAAGCUCUGUUAAUCGGGACGAAAGGCCUUCUUACGAAUAGUGAGAAGGAUUGACGGUACCGGAAUAGAAAGCCACGGCUAACUACGUG
Molecule: ribosomal RNA, 510 nt
Filed under: uncultured bacterium
Lineage: Bacteria
Description: partial 16S ribosomal RNA
Rfam family: Bacterial small subunit ribosomal RNA
Source: RNAcentral